This 72-nucleotide transfer RNA is filed under the name Cychrus semigranosus. Its description in RNAcentral is "tRNA-Leu". The record is from RNAcentral. Lineage: Eukaryota; Metazoa; Arthropoda; Insecta; Coleoptera; Carabidae.
AUAAAAUAUUAUUUUGGCAGAUUAGUGCAAUGAAUUUAGAAUUCAUGUAUGUAAUUUUAUUACAGAUAAUAC